RNAcentral lists this transfer RNA (86 nucleotides) under Desulfobacca acetoxidans. Its description in RNAcentral is "tRNA-Ser". It matches the Rfam family "tRNA". Rfam says of the family: Transfer RNA (tRNA) molecules are approximately 80 nucleotides in length. Their secondary structure includes four short double-helical elements and three loops (D, anti-codon, and T loops). Lineage: Bacteria; Pseudomonadati; Thermodesulfobacteriota; Desulfobaccia; Desulfobaccales; Desulfobaccaceae. The record is from RNAcentral.
GGAGGGAUGGCCGAGUGGCUUAAGGCGGCGGUCUUGAAAACCGCAGACCGGAAGGUCCGGGGGUUCGAAUCCCUCUCCCUCCGCCA